This is a long non-coding RNA of Eutrema salsugineum, 708 nucleotides long. RefSeq lists it as uncharacterized. NCBI's taxonomy places the organism in Eukaryota, Viridiplantae, Streptophyta, Magnoliopsida, Brassicales, Brassicaceae. The record is from RefSeq and is a predicted model, not a curated record. The transcript has 6 exons.
AGACGUGCAAAAUAAAAUAUCCAGGUUUGCGAGUGUGCAACUCCGAAGACGAAGAGCUCAUACAGAGGGUAUUCCAAGACGAAGAGCUCUCCGAAGACGAAGAGCUCAAUCAUUCUCAUCAAUUUUCGACAAUAUCCAGGCAUCUGUUAUAGAGGAGAGGAAACAAAGUAAAUCCUUCUGCUCCAAUCCCUUUUUAUAGAUACUUUCAAUGACUUCAACACAUGGGUCGUUCAACACAUGGGUCAUUCAAUGUGAGGCUUCUCUCUCGUCUUCAGUUACUGAGUGUCACACACGACAAUGGAUAACCACUCUGUUCCUUAAGGCAGACAUAAACGAUGAUGUCAAGUUCAUACUAAAUCAAAAUAUAGAUGUAUAGCUGACGAUAUAUCAAAGUGAUCAGGUAAUAGAUGAAGAUUACGCAUAUAAAAUAUAUUGUCAAUUGAUUCAUGCCUUAAAGAGUAGGACUUUCGGGGGCUUCUCAUAAUGCCGUUCUCGAUCAAAUGCUUUGGAUGGAUGGUACCAUUUUGCUAGCUCAGGCAACACUUGUUGUUCAAACUUUCAACAUUUGGAGGCAAGUAGAGUUACUAGAGCUGCAAUUUGGAAGGCUUUGAAGAGUUGUUUGGAAUUUUAUAGCUUGUGUGAAUUUUACAUUUUGUAAGACAGAUAUGUUUGUGUAGAACUAUAUAUUUGAUUAAUUAAAUUUUAAUG